AAAAAUGAAGGUGUAUUACAUUAUGCUUGUCAAGGAGGUAACACGUCUAUUGUUCAACAUCUUAUCACAGAUUCUGAUAUUAACAAGAAAAGGCGUGAUGGUCUGACACCAGUCAUGGUGGCAGCUCUGUGUGGUAAAAAGACGUUUUUGACUUACUGGUGUCCAAUGCAGCUGAUCUCACACUGGUUGAUGAUGAUGAUAACAGUGUGUUACAUUAUGCUUGUCAAGGUGGUAACACGUCUAUUGUUCAACACCUCUUCAGAGUUUGUGAUAUUUACAAGAGAAGGCGUGAUGGUCGGACCCCAGUCAUGCUGGCAGCUCUGUGUGGUCAAAAAGACGUUUUUGACUUACUGGUGUCCAAUGGAGCUGAUCUCACACUGGUUGAUGCUAAAAAUGAAGGUGUAUUAUAUUAU
Haliotis rubra (blacklip abalone) is the source of this 413-nucleotide long non-coding RNA. RefSeq lists it as uncharacterized. The record is from RefSeq and is a predicted model, not a curated record. NCBI's taxonomy places the organism in Eukaryota, Metazoa, Mollusca, Gastropoda, Lepetellida, Haliotidae. The transcript is spliced from 3 exons.